UACGGAGGGGGCUAGCGUUGUUCGGAAUUACUGGGCGUAAAGCGCACGUAGGCGGACUGGAAAGUCAGGGGUGAAAUCCCGGGGCUCAACCCCGGAACUGCCCUUGAAACUCCCGGUCUUGAGGUCGAGAGAGGUGAGUGGAAUUCCGAGUGUAGAGGUGAAAUUCGUAGAUAUUCGGAGGAACACCAGUGGCGAAGGCGGCUCACUGGCUCGAUACUGACGCUGAGGUGCGAAAGCGUGGGGAGCAAACAGG
RNAcentral lists this ribosomal RNA (253 nucleotides) under uncultured bacterium. RNAcentral describes it as "partial 16S ribosomal RNA". It matches the Rfam family "Bacterial small subunit ribosomal RNA", at positions 524 to 776 of the family's 1533-position model. The record is from RNAcentral.